CCCAAGAAAUUUCUUCUUUCUCUCUCACCAAAAUCAAUUUCCCUCCCCAAAAAUCAAAUGUUCAAUUUCAUCUAUUUCUUUGACCAUCUCUCUGAUGUCGGUUCUCUACAGUGACAAAUUGUUUUCAUCAAGAUUCAAUUGCCUUCAAUCCAAUAAUACACACCUUCAUCAUCCAAGGCUUUUUCUACUGCACCAACUAUCGAUUCAGAGAGGACCUGAUAUUAAAAGAGACGACGUAUGUUAACGAAGGUAUUCCUUUCAGUUUCUUUGGGGUGCUCUUUAUACGUGGAUCACCAGCAUAGAACCCACAAAAUUGCAAGGUUUAUGCUAUUUUUCUCUGUUUCAUCAACUUUCUAAUUAGAUAUUGGAUAUCUGAACAUCUUUGGGAAAGAGUGUACCGUUCUAUGUGAUUUUCAAGCCUAUCAUUUCUUUUCUUUUUUGGGUGCGAAAGUUGGGGAAGCUAAAGCUCCAGGUGUCCAUGGUUUCAGGCAUGUUAUUGUAGUUUUGAUCGGUUUAGUCUCUUCCUUAGCUGGUGGAGUGAGUUAUUGUUUUUUAAGGGUUGCAGCAAAGGCCUCCGACCAAUAUAUGUUGCAUUGUUCUAGUAAUGGGAUACAGGAUCAUCACGAGUAGCUCUGUAAUUUGCAUGAAGAUAUAGAUGGUGAAGAUAGGUUCUUCGAUUCCUCUAUAAUGUCUUUCUUGCUAGUUUCUUAAAGUGCACAAGCAUAUUUCUAGUUCAUGAAAAAGUAAUGGUUUUGGAUUUGCUGAAAACUGAGAAGGUGAUGUAUUGACAUUAGAAAUACAAUCUGUUACUUGAAACUCAUGAGUCAUGGCAGUGGUGGAUAUCUUCCACAGUUAACUUGGGCUGCAUCAACGGCAUCUAUUACUAUCCACAAUUUGCGAGUGUUGUAUACCAUAAUGAGGACUAGCAGGGGUAGAUAUUAUGAGAAGCUUUAGAGCUGACUUUUAUGACAAUGAAAUUCUCACCAAAAGGAACUUAUAGACUUUUCGUGUAAACAUUAGAAUUUGGAAUAUGUUACUCAUUACACAACGUUUAUGCUAGCAUUUGGAAUAUUUUUUGGAUGGAACUUAUUAUUGAAGUUAUAAUAUUAUGAUUUCUACAUUUACAAUU
Long non-coding RNA from Helianthus annuus (common sunflower), 1129 nucleotides. RefSeq lists it as uncharacterized. The record is from RefSeq and is a predicted model, not a curated record. The transcript has 9 exons. Lineage: Eukaryota; Viridiplantae; Streptophyta; Magnoliopsida; Asterales; Asteraceae.